Molecule: ribosomal RNA, 497 nt
Filed under: uncultured bacterium
Lineage: Bacteria
Description: partial 16S ribosomal RNA
Rfam family: Bacterial small subunit ribosomal RNA
Source: RNAcentral
GAUGAACGCUGGCGGCGUGCCUAAUACAUGCAAGUCGAGCGAACAGACGAGGAGCUUGCUCCUCUGACGUUAGCGGCGGACGGGUGAGUAACACGUGGAUAACCUACCUAUAAGACUGGGAUAACUUCGGGAAACCGGAGCUAAUACCGGAUAAUAUAUUGAACCGCAUGGUUCAAUAGUGAAAGACGGUUUUGCUGUCACUUAUAGAUGGAUACGGGCCGCAUUAGCUAGUUGGUAAGGUAACGGCUUACCAAGGCAACGAUGCGUAGCCGACCUGAGAGGGGGGUCGGCCACACUGGAACUGAGACACGGUCCAGACUCCUACGGGAGGCAGCAGUAGGGAAUCUUCCGCAAUGGGCGAAAGCCUGACGGAGCAACGCCGCGUGAGUGAUGAAGGUGUUCGGAUCGUAAAACUCUGUUAUUAGGGAAGAACAAAUUUGUAAGUAACUAUGCACGUCUUGACGGUACCUAAUCAGAAAGCCACGGCUAACUACGUG